UUUGACUUAUAUAAAUUUUAUAUAACAAAGACUUAAAACUUAAAACACAUGUGCUUUACCUCCUUUAUCCCCACCCAGCUUCAACCAAAUUUGAUCUGAGGGAAUCAAGUUGUCAUGCCAUGUCAAYCUAUGAAAACKGCAAARCAACAUGCUGUGUAUUAUUUCAUUUUUGUAGAUGCGUUACUAGCACWAUUUAUUGAURUUACUUGUGAUUCUUUUCAAGGUGACCAUGAACCAUCGCUCUCAAGUUAGUUACUUGAGCACAAGGCGCCAGACGAAUUUCAUUCGCUUGACUAGCCUUGGAAAAAACAAAGGGCAUAGCCUCACAGUGCACCUAGAAUGCCAAGUUCAGACUUCAUGGCUAAGCCAUCUCCAGGAAGAAUAUCAAUACUUAGACCAGCCUGUUAAAUAGGAUGGAUAUUUAUUUAUAUUAUUCAUAUGGCAGACCAACAUUUAUUGUUAUUUCUGGUUAUGUUUUUUUAACUGUGAUAUCAAUAGAAAGACAAAGAAAAUGUUUUUGACAAUAAAUUUGUAUAACAGUAGCAACUUUCAACUUAUAA
Exaiptasia diaphana is the source of this 560-nucleotide long non-coding RNA. RefSeq lists it as uncharacterized. The record is from RefSeq and is a predicted model, not a curated record. The transcript is spliced from 2 exons. Lineage: Eukaryota; Metazoa; Cnidaria; Anthozoa; Actiniaria; Aiptasiidae.